GUUGGUCCCAAGACGCUUGUUGGUCCCAAGACGCUUGUUGGUCCCAAGACGCUUGUUGGUCCCAAGACGCUUGUUGGUCCCAAGACGCUUGUUGGGCCCAAGACGCUUGUUGGGCCCAAGACGCUUGUUGGGCCCAAGACGCUUGUUGGGCCCAAGACGCUUGUUGGGCCCAAACCGUUCGGGGGAACAAACAAACGCUUGAUCUCUUUCACUGCAGAUGCAGAAGUGUGACAUCGGAGGAUGCGGUGGACUGACACAAAACAACAGAUAUCUCAAGCUUAUAAACGGACAGAUUUGUAUGAGGAUUUUUUAUUAUUAUUAUGCUAAUUAGAUCGAAGGGUUAAUAGCCUCAAAGCUAGAAACAAACACUUACAGUAGCGUGUAGAAACUAUGGGUGAUCCCAGCGGGAAUCCAACCCGCAACCCUGGUGUUACAAGUGCCAUGUUCUACCAACUGAGCCAAACAGAACAAUUUGAUAGAGGCGAUCGCUUUAGAAAAUGGAGGGCUGAAACCUGACCAGGGAGAUUCAGAACAGUCCUGAAGGUGAAACCUGACCAGGGAGAUUCAGAACAGUCCUGAAGCUGAAGCCUGGCUAGGGAGAUUCAGAAUUAGGGGAAUUGUGCAACACUAAACCUGGAGAUUGGCUUGGAGAGGAGAACAGGGAUGUAAAGGAGAGAGGGUGGACUAGCCUCCACUCUUAGCCUUACAAACAGAUCUGGGACCAGGCUAAGAGGGGGACCACUUCCUGUUAUGGUUCUUUACAAACAGAUCUGGGACCAGGCUAAGAGGGGGACCACUUCCUGUUAUGGUUCUUUACAAACAGAUCUGGGACCAGGCUAAGAGGGGGACCACUUCCUGUUAUGGUUCUUUACAAACAGAUCUGGGACCAGGCUAAUAGGGGGACCACUUCCUGUUAUGGUUCUUUACAAACAGAUCUGGGACCAGGCUAAGAGGGGGACCACUUCCUGUUAUGGUUCUUUACAAACAGAUCUGGGACCAGGCUAAGAGGGGGACCACUUCCUGUUAUGGUUCUUUACAAACAGAUCUGGGACCAGGCUAAGAGGGGGACCACUUCCUGUUAUGGUUCUUUACAAACAGAUCUGGGACCAGGCUAAGAGGGGACCACUUCCUGUUAUGGUUCUUUACAAACAGAUCUGGGACUAUUUUUUUAUAUGGAGUUGCCUUUUCGUUGGUGCACCUUUUUGAAUGAAACACCCUAUUCCCUAUAUAGUGCACUACUCUUGACCAGGGCCCAUAGGGUAGUAGUUCACUAUAUACAGGGCAUUUGGAAAGUAUUCAGACCCCUUGAUGUUUUACACACUUUGUUUCAUUACAGCCAUAUUAGAAAAUGGAUUUUUUUUUUUUUUAACUAUCCUUCAUCAAUCUACAUACAAUACCCCAUAGUGACAUCACAAUACCCCAUAGUGACAUCACA
Molecule: long non-coding RNA, 1435 nt
Organism: Oncorhynchus tshawytscha (Chinook salmon)
Lineage: Eukaryota; Metazoa; Chordata; Actinopteri; Salmoniformes; Salmonidae
Source: Ensembl